CCCUUAGAUGUUCUGGGCCGCACGCGCGCUACAAUGAUGAAUUCAACGAGUUUAUAACCUUAGUUGAAAAGCCUGGGUAAUCUUUUGAACUUUCGUCGUGAUGGGGCUAGACCCUUGCAAUUAUUGGUCUCCAACGAGGAAUUCCUAGUAAACGCAAGUCAUCAGCUUGCAUUGAUUACGUCCCUGCCCUUUGUACACACCGCCCGUCGCACCUACCGAUUGAAUGGUCCGGUGAAAUCUUCGGAUUGAGACUUUGAUUUCUUCACGGAAAACGCUGUUUUAAAAAGUUGAUUAAACCUUACCAUUUAGAGGAAGGUGAAGUCGUAACA
This 329-nucleotide ribosomal RNA is filed under the name uncultured eukaryote. RNAcentral describes it as "partial 18S ribosomal RNA". It matches the Rfam family "Eukaryotic small subunit ribosomal RNA", at positions 1470 to 1796 of the family's 1831-position model. The record is from RNAcentral.